This 840-nucleotide ribosomal RNA is filed under the name Triticum aestivum (bread wheat). RNAcentral describes it as "partial small subunit ribosomal RNA". Lineage: Eukaryota; Viridiplantae; Streptophyta; Magnoliopsida; Poales; Poaceae. The record is from RNAcentral.
AUGAAUAUUGCUCUCCUAUCCCGAUGGCUUUGGCGCAUUUCGCAAGGGCAAGGCGGCCUCUGGUUAGAUAUAAUCCGGGCCAAGUACCUGCAUGGACAACCCCUUGCUUUCUGUCAGCGUUCAGGCGGCUCCCAGUUUUGGCAGUCGAUUAUCCAGCUUCUCCCGGUCCUCCGCAUUGGGACAUCCAUCUCGGUUGGUUCGGGUUCUGUGACCUUGUUCUGGUUCGACCGUUGGGCUGGUGACUCCCCCUUCGCGGCGCGGUUCCCCGACCUCUUCUCCAUCGCUGUGGACCCAACCAUCUCCGUCGAGAGGGCCCUUAUUGACUUAGGGCGCCUCGCCUUCCGGAGACCAUUCGGUCCUCUGGAAUCCGCCGCUUGGCGCGAGUUGCUUGAUUGCAUCGCCCUGCAAGAACCGGCCGUCGACUCUGGCCCGGACCAGGUUAGGUGGCGUCUUGAGCCUUCCGGCCAAUUCUCCACCAAGUCCCUCCACCAGGCCAUUGCUCCCUCCAUCGCCCCGCCCCCCCUCCCGGCGGUUUGGUCCAUCCGUCUGCCUCUGAAGAUCCGGAUCUUCAUGUGGCAAUGGAUUCGCGGACGGAUCCCGUCUGGGGUGGAGGUCCGCAAGCGCAAUGGCCCUGGGACGGGCAUCUGCCCGCUUUGCGAUGUUCCCGAAGACUCGAAUCACAUCUUCUUCACGUGCAUGUCUGCUCAGUUUCUAUGGAGUUGCUUUAGGGAGGUGGUCGGUGGCAAUUGGUGUCACACCAACUUCCCCGGCCUAUUCGCCGAACUCCAGAUAUCCCCCUACCUUCUCGCCACAUUAGGUGGCUUGAGAUUGGGGCGCUAG